GUAGGGAAUAUUGGGCAAUGGAUGCAAGUCUGACCCAGCCAUCCCGCGUGCCGGAAGAAGGCCCUCAGGGUUGUAAACGGCUUUUGACGGUGAAGAAUCGACAGGAUGCGUCCUGUUUUGACGGUAGCCGUUGAAUAAGCACCGGCUAACUCCGUGCCAGCAGCCGCGGUAAUACGGAGGGUGCGAGCGUUGUCCGGAUUUAUUGGGUUUAAAGGGUGCGUAGGCUGGAAGUUCAGUCAGCGGUGAAAAGCUGUCGCUUAACGAUAGUCUUGCCGCAGAUACUUCCUUUCUUGGAUGAGGAGGAGGCCACUGGAACGGAUGGUGUAGCGGUGAAAUGCAUAGAUAUCAUCCAGAACACCGAUUGCGAAGGCAGGUGGCUGUACCUUAAUCGACGCUGAUGCACGAAAGCAUGGGGAGCAAACAGGAUUAGAUACCCCUGUAGUCC
Molecule: ribosomal RNA, 445 nt
Filed under: uncultured bacterium
Lineage: Bacteria
Description: partial 16S ribosomal RNA
Rfam family: Bacterial small subunit ribosomal RNA
Source: RNAcentral